GCGGGGGUCGCCCAGCCAGGUCAAAGGCGCAAGGUUGAGGGCCUUGUCUCGUAGGAGUUCGCGUGUUCGAAUCACGUCCCCCGCA
RNAcentral lists this transfer RNA (85 nucleotides) under ANME-2 cluster archaeon. Its description in RNAcentral is "tRNA-Leu". It matches the Rfam family "tRNA". Rfam says of the family: Transfer RNA (tRNA) molecules are approximately 80 nucleotides in length. Their secondary structure includes four short double-helical elements and three loops (D, anti-codon, and T loops). Lineage: Archaea; Methanobacteriati; Methanobacteriota; Methanomicrobia; Methanosarcinales. RNAcentral also lists the same sequence under 2 other names. The record is from RNAcentral.